RNAcentral lists this ribosomal RNA (845 nucleotides) under Simulium chiangmaiense. RNAcentral's name for it is "partial 16S ribosomal RNA". Lineage: Eukaryota; Metazoa; Arthropoda; Insecta; Diptera; Simuliidae. The record is from RNAcentral.
CAAUAAUUUAAUUUUAAAAAUUAUUGUAAGAAAUCAUUAAUAUUUUAAGGGAUGAGCUUUAAAAUAAAAUUUUAUAAAUAACUGUUAUUAAGUAAUAAUUGUAAGCUUAGAAUUAGCUAUCAAUAGAAAUUAUGUUUUAAUUUAUUUUUUAUUUAAUAUUAUUUAUUAUUUAUUUUAAAUUUUUUAUUAAAAUAUAAAUUUUAAUUUUAUAAAUUUAUUAAUAAUGAUAAAAUUAGUAAAUAUUUAUAAUUAUAUAAAUAAAUCUUUAAUUGAUUGGUUUUUAUAAUUAAUUCGGCAAAUUUUGUGCUCACCUGUUUAUCAAAAACAUGUCUUUUUGGUUAUUUAAUAUAAAGUCUGACCUGCCCACUGAAUUUAUUUUGAAGGGCCGCAGUAUUUUGACUGUGCAAAGGUAGCAUAAUCAUUAGUCUUUUAAUUGAAGGCUGGUAUGAAUGGUUGGAUGAGGUACAAGCUGUGUCAUAAAAAUUAGUUUUUGAAUUUACCUUUUUAGUCAAAAGGCUAAAAUAGUAUUAAAAGACGAGAAGACCCUAUAGAGCUUUAUAUAAUUUUUAUUUAAAUUAUUAAGAUUUUUUAAAUUUAAUUAUUUCAUUAUAUUUUGUUGGGGUGACAAUAAAAUUUAUAAAACUUUUAUUUUUAUUUACCAUUAAUAUAUGUUUAUAUGAUCCAGUUUUAUUGAUUAUAAAUUUAAGUUACCUUAGGGAUAACAGCGUAAUUUUUUUUGAGAGUUCUUAUCGACAAAAAAGAUUGCGACCUCGAUGUUGGAUUAAGAGUAAUUUUGGGUGUAGAAGUUCAAAGUUUAAGUCUGUUCGACUUUUAAAUUCUUACAU